GUGGCGAACGGGUGAGUAACACGUGGGUGAUCUGCCCCUGACUUUGGGAUAAGCCUGGGAAACUGGGUCUAAUACCGGAUAUGACCAAGGAUUGCAUGGUUCUUGGUGGAAAGCUUUUGCGGUUGGGGAUGGGCCCGCGGCCUAUCAGCUUGUUGGUGGGGUAAUGGCCUACCAAGGCGACGACGGGUAGCCGACCUGAGAGGGUGAUCGGCCACACUGGGACUGAGACACGGCCCAGACUCCUACGGGAGGCAGCAGUGGGGAAUAUUGCACAAUGGGCGCAAGCCUGAUGCAGCGACGCCGCGUGAGGGAUGACGGCCUUCGGGUUGUAAACCUCUUUCAGCAGGGACGAAGCGCGAGUGACGGUACCUGCAGAAGAAGCACCGGCCAACUACGUGCCAGCAGCCGCGGUAAUACGUAGGGUGCGAGCGUUGUCCGGAAUUACUGGGCGUAAAGAGCUCGUAGGCGGUUUGUCGCGUCGUCUGUGAAAUU
This 492-nucleotide ribosomal RNA is filed under the name Gordonia polyisoprenivorans. Its description in RNAcentral is "bacterial SSU rRNA". It matches the Rfam family "Bacterial small subunit ribosomal RNA", at positions 95 to 601 of the family's 1533-position model. The record is from RNAcentral. Lineage: Bacteria; Bacillati; Actinomycetota; Actinomycetes; Mycobacteriales; Gordoniaceae.